CCUUUAUCUCCAUAAGGAUCUGCGCAUAAAGAGUGGUUAGAGGGGCAUAGGAGUCAUACCAAUUAUUGGGUUUUUGGGCUUCAAAUUUGGUCGGGGAGGCGGAGCCUCCCUCUCAGAGCAGGUUCAGCUAGGUCCUAUAGAGGUCCCUUCCUUAUUCGUCUUCUUUUUCUGACUUUUGCCCUCAAAUUGGUGCCAGUCAGUUACACCUUCCUUGGUGUAGAUGUACUUUUGUGCGCACUAGAGGACUUCGACAUAGGAUCGAAGAAGCAUCUUAUCUAGAAAAUAAGUAAAUCUGAAACUAUGCAAUCCACACUU
RNAcentral lists this long non-coding RNA (315 nucleotides) under Elaeis guineensis (African oil palm). RNAcentral describes it as "long non-coding RNA (EGUI_LNC055276)". Lineage: Eukaryota; Viridiplantae; Streptophyta; Magnoliopsida; Arecales; Arecaceae. The record is from RNAcentral.